AUGAACGCUGGCGGCGUGCUUAACACCUGCAAGUCGAACGGUGAAGGCGGAGCUUGCUCUGCUGGAUCAGUGGCGAACGGGUGAGUAACACGUGAGCAAUCUGCCCCUGACUCUGGGAUAAGCGCUGGAAACGGCGUCUAAUACUGGAUACGAGCUGCGAAGGCAUCUUCAGCAGCUGGAAAGAAUUUCGGUCAGGGAUGAGCUCGCGGCCUAUCAGCUUGUUGGUGAGGUAAUGGCUCACCAAGGCGUCGACGGGUAGCCGGCCUGAGAGGGUGACCGGCCACACUGGGACUGAGACGCGGCCCAGACUCCUACGGGAGGCAGCAGUGGGGAAUAUUGCACAAUGGGCGAAAGCCUGAUGCAGCAACGCCGCGUGAGGGACGACGGCCUUCGGGUUGUAAACCUCUUUUAGCAGGGAAGAAGCGAAAGUGACGGUACCUGCAGAAAAAGCGCCGGCUAACUACGUG
Molecule: ribosomal RNA, 467 nt
Filed under: uncultured bacterium
Lineage: Bacteria
Description: partial 16S ribosomal RNA
Rfam family: Bacterial small subunit ribosomal RNA
Source: RNAcentral